AGUGAACGCUGGCGGUAGGCCUAACACAUGCAAGUCGAACGGCAGCACAGUAAGAGCUUGCUCUUACGGGUGGCGAGUGGCGGACGGGUGAGGAAUACAUCGGAAUCUACUUUUUCGUGGGGGAUAACGUAGGGAAACUUACGCUAAUACCGCAUACGACCUACGUGUGAAAGCAGGGGAUCUUCGGACCUUGCGCGAUUGAAUGAGCCGAUGUCGGAUUAGCUAGUUGGCGGGGUAAAGGCCCACCAAGGCGACGAUCCGUAGCUGGUCUGAGAGGAUGAUCAGCCGCACGGGAAAUGAGACACGGUCCAGAAUCCGACGGGAGGCAGGAGUGGGGAAUAUUGGACAAGGGGCGCAAGCGUGUUCCAGCCAGACCGCGUGGGUGAAGAAGGCCUUCGGGUUGUAAAGCCCUUUUGUUGGGAAAGAAAAGCAGCAGGUUAAUACCCCGCUGUUCUGAAGGUACCCAAAGAAUAAGCACCGGCUAACUUCGU
Molecule: ribosomal RNA, 491 nt
Filed under: uncultured bacterium
Lineage: Bacteria
Description: partial 16S ribosomal RNA
Rfam family: Bacterial small subunit ribosomal RNA
Source: RNAcentral